UACGGAGGGUGCGAGCGUUGUCCGGAAUCACUGGGCGUAAAGGGCGCGUAGGCGGCGAGGCUAGUCAACGGUGAAAGCUUGGGGCUCAACCCCGAGUCGGCCGUCGAUACUUCCUUGCUUGAGCACUGUAGAGGCAGAUGGAAUUCCGGGUGUAGCGGUGGAAUGCGUAGAGAUCCGGAAGAACACCGGUGGCGAAGGCGGUCUGCUGGGCAGUAGCUGACGCUGAUGCGCGACAGCGUGGGGAGCAAACAGG
Molecule: ribosomal RNA, 253 nt
Filed under: uncultured bacterium
Lineage: Bacteria
Description: partial 16S ribosomal RNA
Rfam family: Bacterial small subunit ribosomal RNA
Source: RNAcentral